RNAcentral lists this ribosomal RNA (497 nucleotides) under uncultured bacterium. RNAcentral describes it as "partial 16S ribosomal RNA". It matches the Rfam family "Bacterial small subunit ribosomal RNA", at positions 28 to 507 of the family's 1533-position model. The record is from RNAcentral.
GAUGAACGCUGGCGGCGUGCCUAAUACAUGCAAGUCGAGCGAAAAGACGAGGCGCUUGCUCCUCUCACGUUAGCCGAACACGGGUGAAUCACGCGUGGAUCCCCUACCUAUAUGAGUGGGAUAACUUCGGGACACCGGAGCUAAUCCCAUAUAAUCUCUUGCACCGCAGGGUUCGAUAGUAAAAGACGGUGUUGCUGGCACGUAUCGAUGGUUCCGCGCCGCAUUAGGUAGUUGGUAAGGUAACGGCUUACCACGGCAACCAUGCGUAGCCGACCGGCGGGGGGGAUCGGCGACACUGGAACGGAGACACGGUCCAUGCGCCUAAGGGAGGCAGCAGUAGGGAAUGGUACGCAAUGGGCGAAAGUCUGACGGAGCAACGCGGCGUGAGUGAUGACGGCGUUCGGAUCGUAAUGCUCGGUUAUGAGGGAUGAACAAAUUUGUAAGUUAAUAUGCACGGCGUGACGGUACUGAGUCAGAAAGCCACGGCUAACUACGUG